GCGGCGGACGGGUGAGUAACACGUGGGUAACCUGCCUGUAAGACUGGGAUAACUCCGGGAAACCGGGGCUAAUACCGGAUGCUUGAUUGAGCCGCAUGGUUCAAUUAUAAAAGGUGGCUUUCAGCUACCACUUACAGAUGGACCCGCGGCGCAUUAGCUAGUUGGUGAGGUAACGGCUCACCAAGGCGACGAUGCGUAGCCGACCUGAGAGGGUGAUCGGCCACACUGGGACUGAGACACGGCCCAGACUCCUACGGGAGGCAGCAGUAGGGAAUCUUCCGCAAUGGACGAAAGUCUGACGGAGCAACGCCGCGUGAGUGAUGAAGGUUUUCGGAUCGUAAAACUCUGUUGUUAGGGAAGAACAAGUACCGUUCGAAUAGGGCGGCACCUUGACGGUACCUAACCAGAAAGCCACGGCUAACUACGUGCCAGCAGCCGCGGUAAUACGUAGGUGGCAAGCGUUGUCCGGAAUUAUUGGGCGUAAAGCGCGCGCAGGCGGUUUCUUAAGUCUGAUGUGAAAGCCCCCGGCUCAACCGGGGAGGGUCAUUGGAAACUGGGGACUUGAGUGCAGAAGAGGAGAGUGGAAUUCCACGUGUAGCGGUGAAAUGCGUAGAGAUGUGGAGGAACACCAGUGGCGAAGGCGACU
RNAcentral lists this ribosomal RNA (646 nucleotides) under uncultured Bacilli bacterium. Its description in RNAcentral is "bacterial SSU rRNA". It matches the Rfam family "Bacterial small subunit ribosomal RNA", at positions 95 to 726 of the family's 1533-position model. The record is from RNAcentral. Lineage: Bacteria; Bacillati; Bacillota; Bacilli.